UACGGAGGAUCCAAGCGAUAUCCGGAAUCAUCGGGUUUAAAGGGUCCGUAGGCGGGCAUAUAAGCCAGUGGUGAAAGUCUCCAGCCCAACUGUAGAACUGCCAUUGAUACUAUAUGCCCUGAGUCAUUAUGAAGUGGUUAGAAUGAGUAGUGUAGCAGUGAAAUGCAUAGAUAUUACUCAGAAUACCGAUUGCGAAGGCAGAUCACUAAUAAUGUACUGACGCUGAUGGACGAAAGCGUAGGUAGCGAACAGG
RNAcentral lists this unclassified non-coding RNA (253 nucleotides) under uncultured Flavobacteriaceae bacterium. Its description in RNAcentral is "contains 16S-23S intergenic spacer region". It matches the Rfam family "Bacterial small subunit ribosomal RNA", at positions 524 to 776 of the family's 1533-position model. Lineage: Bacteria; Pseudomonadati; Bacteroidota; Flavobacteriia; Flavobacteriales; Flavobacteriaceae. The record is from RNAcentral.